GCCUGGCUGGCUCAGUCAGUAGAGCAUAUGACUCUUGAUCUUGGGGUCAUUAGUUCGAGUCCCAUGUUGGACA
This 73-nucleotide transfer RNA is filed under the name Ursus americanus (American black bear). It matches the Rfam family "tRNA". Rfam says of the family: Transfer RNA (tRNA) molecules are approximately 80 nucleotides in length. Their secondary structure includes four short double-helical elements and three loops (D, anti-codon, and T loops). Lineage: Eukaryota; Metazoa; Chordata; Mammalia; Carnivora; Ursidae. RNAcentral also lists the same sequence under 2 other names. The record is from Rfam by way of RNAcentral.